UUUUGCAACUUGCGUAGAGGCAUAAGAGUAUUGAUAGACCUAGAGAAACUAGAGUAUAAUAAGAGAGUUGCUCAUGCUAUUUGCUAUGUUUCUUUAGGAUGUUAAGUUGAGUGCUAGGAAGUGUUUCUUUUGGCUAUGAGCUCCCACCUUCAAAUCUCUCUCCCUUAUGAGUUCUUGCAAGUUCACUUGAGGAUAAGUAAAGAACAAGUUUGGGGGAGUUGAUAUCUUGCAUAUUUGCAUUGUUUUAACCAUCCAUUUUGUACACAUUAAUCAUAUAGAUUAGGAAUUAAGC
RNAcentral lists this long non-coding RNA (292 nucleotides) under Brassica napus (rape). Its description in RNAcentral is "long non-coding RNA (BNAP_LNC013020)". Lineage: Eukaryota; Viridiplantae; Streptophyta; Magnoliopsida; Brassicales; Brassicaceae. The record is from RNAcentral.